RNAcentral lists this long non-coding RNA (536 nucleotides) under Volvox carteri. Its description in RNAcentral is "long non-coding RNA (VCAR_LNC001098)". The record is from RNAcentral. Lineage: Eukaryota; Viridiplantae; Chlorophyta; Chlorophyceae; Chlamydomonadales; Volvocaceae.
GGAUUGGUUUUAGGGGCCACGGCAAGGAUUAGGAUUGCUACACUACUUUCAGGAUGGGAUUGCUGUCAAAAUAUGCAAUCUUCUGGGUUUUAUUGUUGCGCAACUCCACGCAACUCUGCGCAUGGGACAAAAUGUCGUAGUGCAUAGGAGCAAAUCUUGCGCAGAUGUCCAAGUCAACUCAAAAGCAUUCCAAUCGGAACGCCUGGCUUCUCGGAGUGCUUGUCACAGGGCUUUGGCGUAUCCAACGUGAAGUAUUGGUGCCCGACUGUGCAGCUGACCAGCUGUGCAGGGGUUGAACCAUCGGCUCACCCCUUCCUUCUUCAUCAUCAGCCCGCGUUCCCCGUGAUGGACAUUUUUACAGAACACCCUUGUUUGUCCUGUCAUACUAACCACGGCCGGAGGGUAUCACCCAGGGUUCGUCAUCUGUCAUCUGGGGGUGGGGUCCUGGCCGGCAUCUGCCUUCCGCGCUCAUUUAAGUAUGAGGAAACAAUAUCUAACUAAGUUCACAUGGUAUCUAGAUAUCGCGGGGACCCCCC